This 371-nucleotide ribosomal RNA is filed under the name uncultured organism. RNAcentral describes it as "partial 16S ribosomal RNA". It matches the Rfam family "Bacterial small subunit ribosomal RNA", at positions 527 to 896 of the family's 1533-position model. The record is from RNAcentral.
GUAGGUGGCAAGCGUUGUCCGGAAUUAUUGGGCGUAAAGCGCGCGCAGGCGGUCCUUUAAGUCUGAUGUGAAAGCCCACGGCUCAACCGUGGAGGGUCAUUGGAAACUGGGGGACUUGAGUACAGAAGAGGAAAGCGGAAUUCCAAGUGUAGCGGUGAAAUGCGUAGAGAUUUGGAGGAACACCAGUGGCGAAGGCGGCUUUCUGGUCUGUAACUGACGCUGAGGCGCGAAAGCGUGGGGAGCAAACAGGGAUUAGAUACCCUGGUAGUCCACGCCGUAAACGAUGAGUGCUAAGUGUUAGGGGGUUUCCCGCCCCUUAUGCUGCAGCUAACGCAUUAAGCACUCCGCCUGGGGAGUACGCCGCAAGGCUG